AUUGAACGCUGGCGGCAGGCCUAACACAUGCAAGUCGAACGGUAACAGGAAGAUGCUUGCUUCUUUGCUGACGAGUGGCGGACGGGUGAGUAAUGUCUGGGAAACUGCCUGAUGGAGGGGGCUAACUACUGGAAACGGUAGCUAAUACCGCAUAACGUCGCAAGACCAAAGAGGGGGACCUUCGGGCCUCUUGCCAUCGGAUGUGCCCAGAUGGGAUUAGCUAGUAGGUGGGGUAACGGCUCACCUAGGCGACGAUCCCUAGCUGUUCUGAGAGGAUGACCAGCCACACUGGAACUGAGGCACGGUCCAGACUCCUACGAGAGGCAGCAGUGGGGAAUAUUGCACAAUGGGGGCAAGCCUGAUGCAGCCAUGCCGCGUGUAUGAAGAAGGCCUUCGGGUUGUAAAGUACUUUCAGCGGGGAGGAAGGGAGUAAAGUUAAUACCUUUGCUCAUUGACGUUACCCGCAGAAGAAGCACCGGCUAACUCCGUG
This 490-nucleotide ribosomal RNA is filed under the name uncultured bacterium. RNAcentral's name for it is "partial 16S ribosomal RNA". It matches the Rfam family "Bacterial small subunit ribosomal RNA", at positions 30 to 507 of the family's 1533-position model. The record is from RNAcentral.